AUCCCCSAUCUAGAAUHCAAGURKWGGGGGUWRUGCCUGCCCAGUGACWCUGUUAWMCGGCCGCGGUAUCCUAACCGUGCAAAGGUAGCGUAAUCACUUGUCUUUUAAAUAAAGACUAGAAUGAAUGGCCAAACGAGGCUCUACCUGUCUCUUACAAAUAAUCAGUGAAAUUGAUCUCCCCGUGCAAAAGCGAGGAUAACACUAUAAGACGAGAAGACCCUGUGGAACUUCAAAUAUAAAAUCAACUAUCACCAACACCCACCCACGGGCCUUAUACCAAAUAGCACCUGAUUUUUAUUUUCGGUUGGGGCGACCUCGGAACAAAACAAAACCUCCGAAAAAUAAAAAACCCUUUAAACCUAGAACAACAGUUCAAAGUGCUUCCGGCAAAACGAUCCAAUACACUUGAUCAACGAACCAAGCUACCCCAGGGAUAACAGCGCAAUCCCAUCUUAGAGUCCCUAUCGACGAUGGGGUUUACGACCUMGAUGCUGGAUCAUGACAUCCWAAURGUNNAUCUGWGUUCAGGCGGUUCGUUUGUUCAACGAUUAACAGUCCU
Molecule: ribosomal RNA, 559 nt
Filed under: Chelonoidis niger
Lineage: Eukaryota; Metazoa; Chordata; Testudines; Testudinidae
Description: partial 16S small subunit ribosomal RNA
Rfam family: Bacterial large subunit ribosomal RNA
Source: RNAcentral